GUGAGGAAUAUUGCGCAAUGGAGGCAACUCUGACGCAGCCAUGCCGCGUGCAGGAAGAAGGCGCUACGCGUUGUAAACUGCUUUUAACCGGGAAGAAACCCCAGGACGUGUCCUGGGUUGACGGUACCGGAGGAAUAAGCACCGGCUAACUUCGUGCCAGCAGCCGCGGUAAUACGAAGGGUGCAAGCGUUAUCCGGAUUCAUUGGGUUUAAAGGGUGCGUAGGCGGAGCGUUAAGUCAGUGGUGAAAUCCUGCAGCUUAACUGUAGACUGGCCAUUGAUACUGGCGCUCUUGAGUGCGCUUGAAGUGGGCGGAAUGUGCCGUGUAGCGGUGAAAUGCUUAGAUAUGGCACAGAACACCAAUUGCGAAGGCAGCUCACUAAGGCGAUACUGACGCUGAGGCACGAAAGCGUGGGGAUCGAACAGGAUUAGAUACCCUAGUAGUCC
RNAcentral lists this ribosomal RNA (445 nucleotides) under uncultured bacterium. RNAcentral's name for it is "partial 16S ribosomal RNA". It matches the Rfam family "Bacterial small subunit ribosomal RNA", at positions 354 to 796 of the family's 1533-position model. The record is from RNAcentral.